GUAGCUACCUGGUGGGGAGAUACGGUGAUCACGAGGGUGGUUUUCCCACAGGGAGGCUUACCCAGUGCACUCCAGAUGUGCUGACCCCCGCCAUCUCCCCAAAUGCGGCAAGCUCCACUGCAUAAUUUGUGGUGACGGGGACUGCAUUCACGCUUUCCCCUG
Callithrix jacchus (white-tufted-ear marmoset) is the source of this 162-nucleotide small nuclear RNA. Its record names the gene U1. It matches the Rfam family "U1 spliceosomal RNA". From Rfam's summary of the family: U1 is a small nuclear RNA (snRNA) component of the spliceosome (involved in pre-mRNA splicing). Its 5' end forms complementary base pairs with the 5' splice junction, thus defining the 5' donor site of an intron. The record is from Ensembl. NCBI's taxonomy places the organism in Eukaryota, Metazoa, Chordata, Mammalia, Primates, Cebidae.